CCCAGUAUAUGUUUUAUGUUCAAGAUGACACCAUGUACAUUGCUGCUGGGGCAGGAGGUGGCAUCAUGAUCCUCAUCAUAAUCGUUAUCUGUGUAUGUGUUGUUAGAAGGAGAAGAACGGUAAACGUCACGCAAGCUAUCAGCGAUGCAGACAAUGGUGCAGAGCUUUCAGAAAACCCAACUUAUGUUAGAAAUCAAGAUGAAGCAGCUGACAACAAAGAGCUCUUAACUAGUAAGUCUUCACAGUUGUGGUGUUCUUCACUUCCUCACAUAUCUGACUACUGUAUUUGAGUGGUGAUUAUA
Long non-coding RNA from Haliotis rufescens (red abalone), 302 nucleotides. RefSeq lists it as uncharacterized. NCBI's taxonomy places the organism in Eukaryota, Metazoa, Mollusca, Gastropoda, Lepetellida, Haliotidae. The record is from RefSeq and is a predicted model, not a curated record. The transcript is spliced from 3 exons.